This 239-nucleotide long non-coding RNA is filed under the name Mytilus galloprovincialis (Mediterranean mussel). The record is from RNAcentral. Lineage: Eukaryota; Metazoa; Mollusca; Bivalvia; Mytilida; Mytilidae.
UUUUUUGUAAAGUUUUUAAUUUGGGAAGUUUUAACUGUUUUUGUAAAGUUUUUACAUGGGGAUGUUUAACUGUUUUGUAAAAACUUUAAAUGGGGAUGUGUUACUGUUUUUGUAAAAUUUUUAAAUGGGGAUAUUUAAAUGUUUUUGUAAAAAUUUUAAAUGGGGAUGUUUAACUGUUUUUGUAAAAAAAUUAAAUAGGGUUGUGUAACUGUUUUUGUAAAAGUUUUAAAUGGGGAUGU